RNAcentral lists this ribosomal RNA (253 nucleotides) under uncultured bacterium. RNAcentral describes it as "partial 16S ribosomal RNA". It matches the Rfam family "Bacterial small subunit ribosomal RNA", at positions 524 to 776 of the family's 1533-position model. The record is from RNAcentral.
UACGGAGGGUGCAAGCGUUAUCCGGAAUCAUUGGGUUUAAAGGGUCCGCAGGCGGUUUCAUAAGUCAGUGGUGAAAGCCUACAGCUCAACUGUAGAACUGCCAUUGAUACUGUGGAACUUGAAUUUGGUCGAAGUGGGCGGAAUGUGACAUGUAGCGGUGAAAUGCAUAGAUAUGUCACAGAACACCGAUAGCGAAGGCAGCUCACUAGGCCAGUAUUGACGCUCAUGGACGAAAGCGUGGGGAGCAAACAGG